GCACAUGUGGCGGAACUGGCAGACGCGUUAGACUUAGGAUCUAAUUCUUCGUGAGUGGGGGUUCAAGUCCCUUCAUGUGCACCA
Molecule: transfer RNA, 84 nt
Filed under: Mycoplasma sp.
Lineage: Bacteria; Bacillati; Mycoplasmatota; Mollicutes; Mycoplasmatales; Mycoplasmataceae
Description: tRNA-Leu
Rfam family: tRNA
About the family: Transfer RNA (tRNA) molecules are approximately 80 nucleotides in length. Their secondary structure includes four short double-helical elements and three loops (D, anti-codon, and T loops).
Source: RNAcentral